AUGGUUAUAAGAGUUUAGAGCUCAUAAAGCUUCGAGACAAACAGUUUGCAAGACAACAUUGUCUAUACCUACCAAUUUAUGAAAAUAUACUACUAUAAAACAAAAUCGUUAGCACUAAUAAGAAACCAAACUAAGAGUAAAUAAAUAAAGCAAUCAUUAUGUCGUGGAAGAAUUGUUGCCUUAAAAGCAAAUUCGUCUUCAUCGGUGUAAUCUUCUAGUGGAUAUCGCCCUUCAAGGUUAACAUAGUAUCUCAAUAUUUGUACACCCAAAUAAAGAAAGUGAAACACAAUUGAUAUUAUUUUUCUCGAAAGGAAUCGAAACAAAAAAAAAACAAAAAACAAAAAACAAAAUCAAUUGGUGGGAAAUCUUAUUGGAAAAUAAACUGGAAGAAAAUCGGCGAAAUCACACUAGGUUGAAUUUCCAAAAAAGAUCGGAGGGAUCAUAGACGAUCUCGCUUAAAACCCAAUCUUCUAGACAAAAUUUUGCUCUCGUAUAAUUUCGUAGAACACCAUAAUUUAGAGAACAAAGAGAAGUUGUUUUUCUCUUGUUGUGUUAUGUGAAAAAUUACGAGAAUGACCUCCUGUUUAUACAGUUUUCUAAAUGACAAAAUAGUAAAACAGCCGUGUAAAUUUCCAAAAAUUGCAUAGGAUUUUCUGCAACAAAAAAUAUUCUGAUUUUUUUAUGCAUUACCAACACCAGUUUGAGCCAAGAAAGAGGUUCCCGUAUGAUCAUAACCUCAUCCAUUGUUGCCCGAGACACAACAGGAAGAUGGCCGAUGGCUGCGUGAAAGAAAGCGCCCUCCUCAUCCCUAAUAAUCAGCCCGUAACCUACCUACUGCCCAUCCUCACUAAAAGCAGUGUCAACAUUGCACUUGACAUGGACUACUUGUGGUCGACACCAGCUAGCAACGGGAGCACAACCGUUUGAACAACAGUAGGUUGCACCUGCUGAUAGGCUAAAGCGCAGUAGCUCAGUCUUGCCUGAAGCGAGUAGCAAAAAUCCCAUUUGAGGCCGCUGUAGCUGUGUCCAUACACCAGAGAAACCGAUUAUGAAAAUAUUAGAGAGACCAAGCAGUAACAACCACUCUACCAAGCAAAGGACUAUCAACACCAAGUAGCAACGAAGAGAAGCAGUUAGAAAAAGACACUGACGGAAAUGUAAUAGCAGAUAAAGACCAUACCUGAACCGCAAAAGAACAACCCAUAAGUACAUGGCCAAUGGGAGCCCUUUUCAAGCAAACACUUGGGCGGACAAAUGCUACUCCAAACAAAAGACAAGUUAGUACCCUCGCUUACAUAAAAAAAACUCACCUUUCGAAAAGUAUCUAGGUUUGAAGAGACGACUUAAAAGGGAGUUCGAAUUUGAAAGAAUCCACCUACCUUAUUUGCCAAGCAUGGCUAAACUGAAGUAGUAAAGAUCUUAAAAGCCUGUACUACCCACCUUUUUUGUAGUACAAAGUCUAUCCGAUGAUGCCCAAUGAAGAUUUGCCAAAUUACUAGAGUUUGAAGCCCAUCAAUUCGAGUUCAUAAGCCGUUGCAAACCCAAGUCAUGUACUGACUGGAAGGAGGAAAAUGCUCAUACAAUACAUUGGGAGCGCCUGUCCAAUUGUCUUAAGCACAACUUCCAUACCUGGUCGAGAAAGAAACCAGAUUUUCUAAUUAAAAAGUAUGCUUACAGAGCCUUUCCUAAAUAAAACUGAAGACUUCCUUUAUUUAUUUAUUUAUUACAAUUGAUAAGUGAUGGAAGAGCCAGAUAGCGACCCUACUCAAUCAAGACAUCCACCCCUAACAUCGAUUGAACCAUAG
RNAcentral lists this long non-coding RNA (1805 nucleotides) under Gossypium barbadense (sea-island cotton). RNAcentral's name for it is "long non-coding RNA (GBAR_LNC005602)". The record is from RNAcentral. Lineage: Eukaryota; Viridiplantae; Streptophyta; Magnoliopsida; Malvales; Malvaceae.